RNAcentral lists this ribosomal RNA (394 nucleotides) under uncultured Gammaproteobacteria bacterium. Its description in RNAcentral is "bacterial SSU rRNA". It matches the Rfam family "Bacterial small subunit ribosomal RNA", at positions 370 to 779 of the family's 1533-position model. The record is from RNAcentral. Lineage: Bacteria; Pseudomonadati; Pseudomonadota; Gammaproteobacteria.
AAUGCACGAAAGUGUGACGGAGCGAUGCCGCGUGAUGGAUGAAGGCUUUAGGGUCGUAAACAUCUUUUAUCAGGGACGAACAAAUGACGGUACCUGAGGAAUAAGGGGUUGCUAACUACGUGCCAGCAGCAGCGGUGAUACGUAGACCCCGAGCGUUGUCCGGAUUUAUUGGGUGUAAAGCGUCCGCAGGCGGUUUGGUAAGUGAUAUGUCAAAUCUUCAGGCUCAACCUGGAGGCUGCGUAUCAUACUGCCAAACUAGAGGUUGGGAGAGGUACACGGAAUUGUCGGUGUAGCGGUAAAAUGCGUUAAUAUCGACAAGAACACCAAAUGCGAAGGCAGUGUACUGGAACAAACCUGACGCUCAGGGACGAAAGCGUGGGUAGCGAAUGGGAUU